RNAcentral lists this small nuclear RNA (148 nucleotides) under Ostreococcus mediterraneus. RNAcentral describes it as "partial Dictyostelium signal recognition particle". Lineage: Eukaryota; Viridiplantae; Chlorophyta; Mamiellophyceae; Mamiellales; Bathycoccaceae. The record is from RNAcentral.
GGCGAUGUCAACAGUGCGGGUAAGACUGGGGCAAAACCUCAAAGUGCUGCGGAAAAAAUGAUGGCAAAAAUGGGAUGGAGUAAAGGUAAAGGCUUGGGAAAGAGCGAGCAAGGUAUGGCGACGCCGUUGGAGGUGAAGAAGGAUGGCG